UCGGCGAAUAAGGACUGGGUAAGACGAGUGCCAGCCGCCGCGGUAAUACUCGCGGUCCAAGUCGCAGCCAUAAUUAUUGGGUCUAAAACAUCCGUAGCUUGCCUUGUAAGUUUCCUGUGAAAUCCGGCAUCUUAAGUGUCGGGCGGGCAGGAAGUACUGCAGAGCUAGAGACCGGGAGACGUAAGGAGUACGUUCAAAGUAGCAGUAAAAUGCGUUAAUCUAGGACGGACUCACAAUAGCGAAGGCACCUUACGAGAACGGUUCUGACAGUAAGGGAUGAAGGCCAGGGGCGCAAAACGGAUUAGAUACCCGUGUAGUCCUGGCAGUAAACACUGCACACUAAACAUUGGGACCUCUUCGUGAGGUUUCAGUGCUGUAGGGAAGCCGAAGAGUGUGCUACCUGGGAAGUAUAGCCGCAAGGCCGAAACUUAAAGGAAUUGGCGGGGAGACACUACAAUGGGUGACGCGUGCGGUUCAAUUAGAUUCCACACCGUGAACCUCACCAGGAGCGACAGCAGAAUGAAGGUCAGUCUGAAGGGCUUACCUGACACGCUGAGAGGAGUUGCAUGGCCGACGUCAGCCUGUGCCGUGAGGUGACCUGUUAAAUCAGGUAACAGGCAAGACCCGCGUCUCUAUUUACAUUUACUAUAGAGAGAUUGCCAUGGUAACAUGGAUGAAAGUGCGGGCUACGUUAGGUGAGUACGGCCCGAACCCCCUGGGCGACACGCGCGCGGCAACGGUGAAUACAGCGGGACGCAACUCCGAAAGGAGAAGCUAAUCCCUUAAAGUUCAUCUCAGUCCAGAUUGAGGUUUGAAACUCAGCCUCAUGACGAUGGAAUCCAUAGUAAUCGUUUGUUAGCAACGAACGGUGAAUAUGUCCCUGUCUCUUGCACACACUGCCCGUCAAACCAACCGAGUUUAGUUAUGAUGAAACCUUUCGAGGGAGAAUCUUAUCUAGACAAGGUAGGUUAAGUCGUCACAAGGUAACUGUAGGGGAACCUGCAGUUGGAUCACCUCCUAA
RNAcentral lists this ribosomal RNA (1021 nucleotides) under Candidatus Levybacteria bacterium RIFOXYB1_FULL_40_17. Its description in RNAcentral is "bacterial SSU rRNA". It matches the Rfam family "Archaeal small subunit ribosomal RNA", at positions 428 to 1478 of the family's 1478-position model. The record is from RNAcentral. Lineage: Bacteria; Candidatus Levyibacteriota.